This 1159-nucleotide ribosomal RNA is filed under the name Salmonella enterica subsp. enterica serovar Infantis. RNAcentral's name for it is "partial 23S ribosomal RNA". It matches the Rfam family "Bacterial large subunit ribosomal RNA", at positions 1 to 1190 of the family's 2925-position model. The record is from RNAcentral. Lineage: Bacteria; Pseudomonadati; Pseudomonadota; Gammaproteobacteria; Enterobacterales; Enterobacteriaceae. RNAcentral also lists the same sequence under 5 other names.
GGGUUGUGAGGUUAAGCGACUAAGCGUACACGGUGGAUGCCCUGGCAGUCAGAGGCGAUGAAGGGCGUGCUAAUCUGCGAUAAGCGCCGGUAAGGUGAUAUGAACCGUUAUAACCGGCGAUACCCGAAUGGGGAAACCCAGUGUGAUUCGUCACACUAUCAUUAACUGAAUCCAUAGGUUAAUGAGGCGAACCGGGGGAACUGAAACAUCUAAGUACCCCGAGGAAAAGAAAUCAACCGAGAUUCCCCCAGUAGCGGCGAGCGAACGGGGAGGAGCCCAGAGCCUGAAUCAGCAUGUGUGUUAGUGGAAGCGUCUGGAAAGGCGCGCGAUACAGGGUGACAGCCCCGUACACAAAAGCGCAUGUGCUGUGAGCUCGAUGAGUAGGGCGGGACACGUGGUAUCCUGUCUGAAUAUGGGGGGACCAUCCUCCAAGGCUAAAUACUCCUGACUGACCGAUAGUGAACCAGUACCGUGAGGGAAAGGCGAAAAGAACCCCGGCGAGGGGAGUGAAAAAGAACCUGAAACCGUGUACGUACAAGCAGUGGGAGCACAGGUUUACCUGUGUGACUGCGUACCUUUUGUAUAAUGGGUCAGCGACUUAUAUUCUGUAGCAAGGUUAACCGAAUAGGGGAGCCGGAGGGAAACCGAGUCUUAAUUGGGCGUUAAGUUGCAGGGUAUAGACCCGAAACCCGGUGAUCUAGCCAUGGGCAGGUUGAAGGUUGGGUAACACUAACUGGAGGACCGAACCGACUAAUGUUGAAAAAUUAGCGGAUGACCUGUGGCUGGGGGUGAAAGGCCAAUCAAACCGGGAGAUAGCUGGUUCUCCCCGAAAGCUAUUUAGGUAGCGCCUCGUGAAUUCAUCUCCGGGGGUAGAGCACUGUUUCGGCUAGGGGGCCAUCCCGGCUUACCAACCCGAUGCAAACUGCGAAUACCGGAGAAUGUUAUCACGGGAGACACACGGCGGGUGCUAACGUCCGUCGUGAAGAGGGAAACAACCCAGACCGCCAGCUAAGGUCCCAAAGUCAUGGUUAAGUGGGAAACGAUGUGGGAAGGCCCAGACAGCCAGGAUGUUGGCUUAGAAGCAGCCAUCAUUUAAAGAAAGCGUAAUAGCUCACUGGUCGAGUCGGCCUGCGCGGAAGAUGUAACGGGGCUAAACCAU